AUUGAACGCUGGCGGCAGGCCUAACACAUGCAAGUCGAACGGCAGCACAGAAGAGCUUGCUCUUUGGGUGGCGAGUGGCGGACGGGUGAGUAAUGUCUGGGAAACUGCCCGAUGGAGGGGGAUAACUACUGGAAACGGUAGCUAAUACCGCAUAACGUCGCGAGACCAAAGUGGGGGACCUUCGGGCCUCACACCAUCGGAUGUGCCCAGGUGGGAUUAGCUAGUAGGUGGGGUAAUGGCUCACCUAGGCGACGAUCCCUAGCUGGUCUGAGAGGAUGAGCCGCAACACUGGAACGUGGAAACGGUCCAGACUCACACGGGAGGCAGCAGUGGAGAAUAUCGCACAAUGGGCGCAAGCCUGAUUCAGCCAUGCCGCGUGUAUGAAGAAGGCCUUCGGGUUGUAAAGUACUUUCAGCGGGGAGGAAGGCGGUGAGGUUAAUAACCUUGCCGAUUGACGUUACCCGCAGAAGAAGCACCGGCUAACUCCGUGCCAGCCGCCGCCGUAA
This 506-nucleotide ribosomal RNA is filed under the name uncultured bacterium. RNAcentral describes it as "partial 16S ribosomal RNA". It matches the Rfam family "Bacterial small subunit ribosomal RNA", at positions 29 to 523 of the family's 1533-position model. The record is from RNAcentral.